AACCCAUGGUGAGGGCACCUUCUCAAUAAAUCCUUAUAUCUCUCCUAUGCAUCAUAGAGUGUCUCUAGAUCCAUCUGCACAAAAGAAGAAAUAUCAUUCCUUAACUU
RNAcentral lists this small nucleolar RNA (107 nucleotides) under Gossypium barbadense (sea-island cotton). Its description in RNAcentral is "Plant small nucleolar RNA R71". It matches the Rfam family "Plant small nucleolar RNA R71". Rfam says of the family: R71 is a member of the C/D box family of snoRNAs containing the C (UGAUGA) and D (CUGA) box motifs. Multiple nearly identical copies of this snoRNA have been identified in Arabidopsis, and it is thought to function as a 2'-O-ribose methylation guide for 18S ribosomal RNA. Lineage: Eukaryota; Viridiplantae; Streptophyta; Magnoliopsida; Malvales; Malvaceae. RNAcentral also lists the same sequence under 1 other name. The record is from Rfam by way of RNAcentral.